This is a non-coding RNA of Peromyscus maniculatus bairdii (prairie deer mouse), 759 nucleotides long. Lineage: Eukaryota; Metazoa; Chordata; Mammalia; Rodentia; Cricetidae. The record is from RefSeq and is a predicted model, not a curated record.
GCCCUCAUGGGGGUUUUCCAUGAGCACAAGUCUACACGUCCCGGAUUGCUGUCUGUCUGUCUGUUUCUUAAUCAUUCAAAGCUAUAACGUUCUUAUUAUUUCGCGCUUUUUUCAGAAAUUUAACUUUAUGAACAGAGAUGGGAUGGUCCACGACUGCCUUCUAACAUUGUCCCAACUGGGCUGAAUAUAGCUUUAUUUCACCUCUAACAUAGUUGUUCGUAGAUGAGGACAUAGACAGAAAUAUCGUGAAAAACAAAUGCUUGGAGAAGAUGCCCCGUGAAGCUACAGAGAAGGUGGCCAGCCAUGAGCAAGCUGAGGAGGAAAGCCCCCAGGCAGUAGCAAACCUGGUAACAGUUUGGUCUUCUUGUGAGGAAAUGAGUCUUUGCUGAGUAAACCACCUAUCUGUGGUAUUUUGUUUGAGCAGCCCUAGCAACUAACACAACCGGCAAAGAUCGGAUCCAUAGGAAAGAGCAUCUGGCUUGAGCUAGCAGCUCAUCAGGUAGCACUCACCGUCUGUCUGCCUUAGGCUGAUGCUGUAGCUGACUUCACUUUCCCAGAGGUGUGCAAAGAGCAAGGGCAGGAAGGAGAAUAAAUGUCUCUUGGAUAUUUGGAGGCUGGACAGACUUCCAAGCACACUGUUCGGCCAUCUUGAAGAUUGUUCUCUACCUACAAGCUAUCUAACUCAGUGUUGUCUCUCUGAUUUCAGCUAUAACUCGUAAGUCAGAGUUUUCUGAUGAUUUCCUUAACAAAGUCUUUCUU